This 465-nucleotide ribosomal RNA is filed under the name uncultured bacterium. Its description in RNAcentral is "partial 16S ribosomal RNA". It matches the Rfam family "Bacterial small subunit ribosomal RNA", at positions 28 to 507 of the family's 1533-position model. The record is from RNAcentral.
GACGAACGCUGGCGGCGUGCUUAACACAUGCAAGUCGAACGGAAAGGCCCUGCUUGCAGGGUACUCGAGUGGCGAACGGGUGAGUAACACGUGGGUGAUCUGCCCUGCACUUCGGGAUAAGCCUGGGAAACUGGGUCUAAUACCGGAUAGGAGCCAUUUUUAGAGUGAUGGUUGGAAAGUUUUUUCGGUGUAGGAUGAGCUCGCGGCCUAACGGCUUGUUGGUGGGGUAAUGGCCUACCAAGGCGGCGACGGGUAGCCGGCCUGUGAGGGUGGACGGCCACAUUGGGACUGAGGGACGGCCCAGACGCCUACGGGAGGGAGCAGGGGGGAAGAUUGCACAAGGAGCGCAAGCCUGAUGCAGCGACGCCGCGUGGGGGAUGACGGCCUUCGGGUUGUAAACACCUUGCGGUAGGGACGGAGCUUUUUGUGACGGUACCUAGAUAAGAAGCACCGGCUAACUACGUG